This 494-nucleotide ribosomal RNA is filed under the name uncultured bacterium. RNAcentral describes it as "partial 16S ribosomal RNA". It matches the Rfam family "Bacterial small subunit ribosomal RNA", at positions 28 to 507 of the family's 1533-position model. The record is from RNAcentral.
GACGAACGCUGGCGGCGUGCUUAACACAUGCAAGUCGAACGGUGAAGCGCCUUCCUUUUUGGUGGGUGUGGAUGAGUGGCGAACGGGUGAGUAACACGUGAGCAACCUGCCCCCUUCUUCUGGAUAACCGCAUGAAAGUGUGGCUAAUACGGGAUAUUCUGGGUCUGUCGCAUGAUGGGUCUGGGAAAGAUAUUGUUUCGGUGGGGGAUGGGCUCGCGGCCUAUCAGCUUGUUGGUGGGGUGAUGGCCUACCAAGGCGGUGACGGGUAGCCGGCCUGAGAGGGUGGACGGUCACACUGGGACUGAGACACGGCCCAGACUCCUACGGGAGGCAGCAGUGGGGAAUAUUGCACAAUGGGCGCAAGCCUGAUGCAGCGACGCCGCGUGAGGGAUGGAGGCCUUCGGGUUGUGAACCUCUUUCGCCAGUGAGGCAGGCCUGCCUCGUUUGUGGGUGGGUUGACGGUAGCUGGAGAAGAAGCGCCGGCUAACUACGUG